RNAcentral lists this ribosomal RNA (468 nucleotides) under uncultured bacterium. RNAcentral describes it as "partial 16S ribosomal RNA". It matches the Rfam family "Bacterial small subunit ribosomal RNA", at positions 28 to 507 of the family's 1533-position model. The record is from RNAcentral.
GAUGAACGCUGGCGGCGUGCUUAACACAUGCAAGUCGAACGGAAAGGCCCUGCUUUUGUGGGGUGCUCGAGUGGCGAACGGGUGAGUAACAUGUGAGUAACCUGCCCUUGACUUUGGGAUAACUUCAGGAGACUGGGGCUAAUACCGGAUAGGAGCUCCCGCUGCAUGGUGGGGGUUGGAAAGUUUCGGCGGUUGGGGAUGGACUCGCGGCUUAUCAGCUUGUUGGUGGGGUAGUGGCUUACCAAGGCUUUGACGGGUAGCCGGCCUGAGAGGGUGACCGGCCACAUUGGGACUGAGAUACGACCCAGACUCCUACGGGAGGCAGCAGUGGGGAAUAUUGCACAAUGGGCGGAAGCCUGAUGCAGCGACGCCGCGUGCGGGAUGACGGCCUUCGGGUUGUAAACCGCUUUCGCCUGUGACGAAGCGUGAGUGACGGUAAUGGGUAAAGAAGCACCGGCUAACUACGUG